This 86-nucleotide transfer RNA is filed under the name Armatimonadota bacterium. Its description in RNAcentral is "Armatimonadetes bacterium (hot springs metagenome) tRNA-Tyr". It matches the Rfam family "tRNA". Rfam says of the family: Transfer RNA (tRNA) molecules are approximately 80 nucleotides in length. The record is from RNAcentral. Lineage: Bacteria; Bacillati; Armatimonadota.
GGAGGGAUACCCAAGCGGCCAACGGGGGCAGACUGUAAAUCUGCUGGCGGAAGCCUUCGGGGGUUCGAAGCCUCCUCCCUCCACCA